Long non-coding RNA from Pantherophis guttatus, 520 nucleotides. RefSeq lists it as uncharacterized. Lineage: Eukaryota; Metazoa; Chordata; Lepidosauria; Squamata; Colubridae. The record is from RefSeq and is a predicted model, not a curated record.
GGUAGUAAUUGUUUUUUCUGCAGUUCUAAUUAUCCUCUGAAGUCUGUGUCUGUCUUGUUGGGUUGCAGAACCAAACCAGACAGUUAUAGAGGUGCAGAUGACAGAGUCAAUAAUUCCUCUGUAGAACUGUAUCAGCAGCUCUUUGGGCAGUUUGAGCUUUCUGAGUUGGAGCUAUCAAGCACUCUGUGAACAAGCACCUAUGAAUGGAAGCAGCAGCUCUGGAGGAAUUUCCAAGGUUAAAGUGUCUUUUUGUCAAACAAGCCAAUUUGAAAUGACAAGCAAGAUUAACAGAAGGCAAACUUCAGAGGCACACUUUUCAGGAAGAGAUGCACAAAUCUGCCUUGUCUUCACAAGCUCCAUUGGAAUAGUGCCUACAAUUGACUUUUAGCAUGGUGAUACUUUCAUGGAACCAUUUUAGACAAAGGCAUGGGAAAAGAGUAACAUCAGAACUAUAUAGUGGCAUGUUAGAAAAUUAUAAAAGCUUUCUUUUAAUUGCAGAUAAUAAACAGAUGCAUCAUGA